Molecule: ribosomal RNA, 801 nt
Filed under: Cucujoidea sp. 8 KM-2017
Lineage: Eukaryota; Metazoa; Arthropoda; Insecta; Coleoptera
Description: partial 16S ribosomal RNA
Rfam family: Bacterial large subunit ribosomal RNA (bases 561-719)
Source: RNAcentral
AUUUUAUUUAAUUGGGGUGAUUAAAAAAUUAAAAAAACUUUUUUUAAAAUUUAACAUUAAUUUAUGAUUAUAUGAUCCAAUAUUUUUGAUUAUAAGAUUAAAUUACCUAAGGGAUAACAGCGUUAUUUUUUUUGAGAGUUCAAAUCGAAAAAAAAGAUCCUGUUUAUUAAAAACAUGUCUUUUUGAAUUUAAUUUAAAGUCUGGCCUGCCCAAUGAAUUUUUGAAUGGCCGCGGUAUUUUGACCGUGCUAAGGUAGCAUAAUCAUUAGUUUUUUAAUUAAAAGCUGGUAUGAAAGGUUUAAUGAGAAAAAAUCUGUCUCUUAUAAAUUUAAUUAGAAUUUUAUUUUUAAGUUAAAAAGCUUAGAUAGUAUUUAAAGACGAGAAGACCCUUUAGAGUUUGAUAUUUUAACGAAUUUGAAAUUUUUAGAAUUUAAUUUUUUAAAUUUUUUAUUUUAUUUAAUUGGGGUGAUUAAAAAAUUAAAAAAACUUUUUUUAAAAUUUAACAUUAAUUUAUGAUUAUAUGAUCCAAUAUUUUUGAUUAUAAGAUUAAAUUACCUAAGGGAUAACAGCGUUAUUUUUUUUGAGAGUUCAAAUCGAAAAAAAAGAUUGCGACCUCGAUGUUGGAUUAAAAUUAAAUUGUGGUGCAGGAGUUACAAUUUUAGGUCUGUUCGACCUUUGAAAUUUUACAUGAUCUGAGUUUAGACCGGCGUGAGCCAGGUUGGUUUCUAUCUUAAAUAAAUAAAAAAUUUUUUAGUACGAAAGGAUUAAAAAUUUAAAUUAUAUUUUAAAUUGGAAUAAAAUU